This 492-nucleotide ribosomal RNA is filed under the name uncultured bacterium. RNAcentral's name for it is "partial 16S ribosomal RNA". It matches the Rfam family "Bacterial small subunit ribosomal RNA", at positions 29 to 507 of the family's 1533-position model. The record is from RNAcentral.
AGUGAACGCUGGCGGUAGGCCUAACACAUGCAAGUCGAACGGCAGCACAGUAAGAGCUUGCUAUUACGGGUGGCGAGUGGCGGACGGGUGAGGAAUACAGCGUAAGCUACUUUUUCGGGGGGGAUAACGUAGGGAGACUUACGCUAAUACCGCAUACGACCUACGGGUGAAAGCAGGGGAUCUUCGGACCUUUCGCGAUUGAAUGAGCCGAUGUCGGAUUAGCUAGUUGGCGGGUGAAAGGCCCACCAAGGGGACAAUCCUUAGCUGGUCUGACAGGAUGGCCACCACAACGGGAAUUGGGCCCCGCCCAAGCCCCUUCCGGGAGGCACAAGUGGGGAAUAUUGGCAAAUGGGGGAAAGCCUGACCCAGCCAUCCCGGGUGGGUGAAGAAGGCCUCCGGGUUGUAAACCCUUUUUGUUGGGAAAGACAAGCAGCAGGUUAAUAACCCGCUGUUCUGACGGUACCCACAGAAUAAGCACCGGCUAACUUCGUG